Molecule: ribosomal RNA, 497 nt
Filed under: uncultured bacterium
Lineage: Bacteria
Description: partial 16S ribosomal RNA
Rfam family: Bacterial small subunit ribosomal RNA
Source: RNAcentral
GAUGAACGCUGGCGGCGUGCCUAAUACAUGCAAGUCGAGCGAACAGAUGAGGAGCUUGCUCCUCUGACGUUAGCGGCGGACGGGUGAGUAACACGUGGAUAACCUACCUAUAAGACUGUGAUAACUUCGGGAAACCGGAGCUAAUACCGGAUAAUAUAUUGAACCGCAUGGUUCAAUAGUGAAAGACGGUUUUGCUGUCACUUAUAGAUGGAUCCGCGCCGCAUUAGCUAGUUGGUAAGGUAACGGCUUACCAAGGCAACGAUGCGUAGCCGACCUGAGAGGGUGAUCGGCCACACUGGAACUGAGACACGGUCCAGACUCCUACGGGAGGCAGCAGUAGGGAAUCUUCCGCAAUGGGCGAAAGCCUGACGGAGCAACGCCGCGUGAGUGAUGAAGGUCUUCGGAUCGUAAAACUCUGUUAUUAGGGAAGAACAAAUGUGUAAGUAACUAUGCACGUCUUGACGGUACCUAAUCAGAAAGCCACGGCUAACUACGUG